AAACCGAGACAGUACCCACUGCCAGCAGCAGAUGGGAAGUCUAAACAGGAGAGACUGAAUAAAGCUGACAACUGAGGCAGGAUAAAGAAGAGAAGGAACAAAGAAGGAGGGGGCAGGAAAAGAAGCCAAGCAGAACAUGCUAGCCUGUCGAUUUUGUCUUCCAUUAAGGCUUCAGCAGAAGAUAAGAAAAGCUAAGCCACGUCAGUGAAGGGAGGACAGCAGGAAGGCUUUCAGGGGAAGAUUUGUGGUGUGGAUUCACUCGGCAUUGAUGAGAGCAGCUCCCCAGACAGAUACCGAGAAUGAAAAACCAAACCAGUGACCAGGAAGAGAAGAUAUGAAGAAAAAUAUAAAAUACAAGACAGCUCUCUGCAAACCAAAAAGAAAGCCCUCACCAGACUGGAUCUGCCAGCACCUUGAUCUUGGACUUCUCAACCUCCAGAACUGUGAGAAAUAAAUCUCUGUUUUCUAAGUCACCCAGUCUAUUGUAUUUUUUAUAGCAGCC
Molecule: long non-coding RNA, 502 nt
Filed under: Homo sapiens (human)
Lineage: Eukaryota; Metazoa; Chordata; Mammalia; Primates; Hominidae
Description: HSALNT0211735
Source: RNAcentral